This is a long non-coding RNA of Scylla paramamosain (green mud crab), 2865 nucleotides long. RefSeq lists it as uncharacterized. The transcript has 5 exons. The record is from RefSeq and is a predicted model, not a curated record. NCBI's taxonomy places the organism in Eukaryota, Metazoa, Arthropoda, Malacostraca, Decapoda, Portunidae.
CAGCCAGACGCCAUGUCGUGCUGUGUUGUGCGAUGCUCUUGUCUGACGGAUUCUGUGUUUUCUCGAAUACUUAUCAUUGGUCAAGGUGAAGCAAGACGGCCACAUACCUGCACCAGCCCUGCGCUCAACACCUCAACAGAGUGCUGGCGCGAGUAGAGCACAACUACUACCAUGCAGGAGGCCCCAGGGGACGGCGCCCGGGCGCGGCGGCAGGUGGAGGCGGUAGGUGGUGCGGAGGUUUAACUGAGGAGUGCCGCAAAUCAGCCGCUGUGGCCACACCUUUACGGUAGUGUGUGGCUGGACCCCCGCCGAGCACUAAAUGUUAGCCUCCAGCCAGCGCCUCCUCAUCACUACCCCCACCCCCACUGCCAGCCCCGCCACUGCCACCACCACUCCGCUGCCCCACCUCUGCCAUCCCCACUCCGCUCCCCAUCUCCCGGCCUCCUGCUUUCAAGACCCCUACAGUGACUUACCGCCGCCGCAAUCGCUGCUUCUACGACCGUCAUCGCUCACUGCUUGAUAGAAAGGUGAAGAACUGCCUGGUUGUCGACUCACCUGUUUACGAGUCCGGCCGACGCCUGCCUACCUGAACCUGAUCAAACUCGCACCUGUGCCAUCGAUAACCCGCGCGUGCAAUCAGCCACCUGUAAAAAGAAGCACACGAACGAUCAACUAUCUAGACAAGCAACAAACUGAACAACUACUCUCCAGGCUUAGCAAUCAGCCACCUGGACCACCUGCCCACCUGCCACCUGGCAUAAACGCCCCGAGGCAGCCACAACCACCUUGGUCCUAAUGCAUCGCCCUGUCCAGCGCCACCCACGUCUAGAGGCCAAGAUGCUGCCGGGACUGCUCAUUAUCAGGAUUGCUCACUUCUCCAGUUUCUUGCUGCAGGAGUUGGCUGGUGCUGGUUGAGAGAGGCGAGGUGUGAUAAAUGCAACAAUAAGAAGAGGAGGUGGACGGUGCGGGUUAAGAGAGGCAAGUUGUCUGAUAAAUGUAACAGGAAGGAGAGACAAUGCUACACUUUCAGAUAAAUAGAGAGAAUUAUGUGAAUAGCGUACGCAUGUUGAGAGACAAGGUGUGAUAAAUGUAACAAUAAAAAAGAGGAGCAAGGUGUGUGAUAAGUGUAACUAGUUGUAAGAAGAGAAACCUGCAUUAUGCCUCAGUAGAUGAAAGCUUCAGCUAUAGAGCAGGGAAAAAAAAAAAAGUUAAUCUAGCGAAGUGUAUGUGGAAAGGUGUGAUGCAUGUAAUGAUAAGAGAGACCUACACUAUUCCACUGCAUAUGAAGACUUACUUAAGAAUGAAAGGUAAAAGCGCAUGUCAUUAAGUGUAAGUGCUGAGUGUCAAAAUGAGAGUAUGCCAAUAUUGUAGUAAAAAAAAAAAAGAAAGAUUAUUGGAGAUGAAAAAAUAAAACAUAUCUUCUACAAAAGGAAGUUUAAUUACAAUAAAUAUACAUUGGUUGCCGGCACGGACCACAGAGGCCGGACUAUCACAGGAGUUAUGAGAGAGCAAGUCCAGAGGCGCCACACCGGGGUAACAAACAUACAACAAAGAUCCUUAAGUCCUACCAGCCAAUCCUUUACAAAACAGUAGUCUUUAAUCCUCUUAUGUCCCUUUUUACAGUUGAUUGGGGCUUUUUUACCUAACUUUUUUUUUUUUUUACUGUUUACAUAAUUUGAGUGAACCGUGUGGGCGCCUCCAGACCCGCUACCACUUUGCCCAACACCCCCACCCGCCCCCCUCCCCCCAACCUCACGACUUGCCACAGCAAUCUUCACAUCACAAAACUUUGAUAACAAAAUGCCCCAUGAUCAUAAUAAUAGUAAUAAUAAUGACACGAAUAGUAAUGAUAAUUCCUCUUUCACAUAUGAUAGUACCAGAAUCAUUAACUUUUUUUUUUUUUUUAAGUUUUCUCUCAACAUUUUCUCCUUGUAAUCGGCAAAAUGGGUGAACAUCGUAGCUUUCCUCUCUGUGCUCCAUGAUUCACUACCAUGACAUGAUAUACAACAAAAAUGAGAGACGAGUGACGCGGAGUGUCGUAUUAGUAAAUCCGUAGUCGUUACAGCUCAUGUCGUCGUUGUUGUUGGUGUUGUUGGGGGGGGUAAUGGUAAUAGUAGCGGGCGGUAGCAGCACAAGCAACAACAACAACAGUAAUGAUGAUGAAGACAACCCAGGCGAAACAUGAUCAUCCAACAACAACAACAACAAUUCAUCGUGAUAAGUAAUGGUGGUGGUGAUGAUGUGUGCUUCCCUCCACUGUGCUCAGCCUGACACUGAUGCCUUGGCUGGUGGAGAUGAUAAAGGAGGAGACAGAAGAGAGAGAGAGAGAGAGAGAGAGAGAGAGAGAGAGACUAACGUAGAACCUCGAAUCUUUCUAUCCCACCUGUUGUGUUCUCAGCUUAAAGUUUACAGUGAUGGAAUGUUGUCCUACGUGAGCGAGGGGUGGAGGGGAGGGAACAAUCAGGCCUCAAGAUCUCUUACACGACCUCUAAGGCGCGCCAUUAAGCACUCCCUUUGUCGUGGACGGAGUCUGAAGAGCUGUGGUUAUGAGGAGGGAGGGAGGGAGGGAGUACCGAAGGGUCAUUCAGGCUGCUUGUGUGUGUGUGUGUGUGUGUGUGUGUGUGUUAUCUGCAGGUGGGAUCAGAGCGAGGAACUGAAGAUUAGGCAACCCCCUGCCCUCCCUCCCCCGCCCAGCGUCUAACGAGGGACGACGCUGCUCUCUGGGGCGAAACACACAGACAAGUCCCACGCGCCCACACUUCGCCACGCGAUGAUUAACAUUUGCAGCAAUCAAGAUGUGGCAAUGAGAAUAUUUCACACACACACACACACACACACACACACACACACACACACAUCCAAGCA